Molecule: microRNA precursor, 73 nt
Filed under: Gorilla gorilla gorilla (western lowland gorilla)
Lineage: Eukaryota; Metazoa; Chordata; Mammalia; Primates; Hominidae
Also listed under: 1 other name
Description: mir-4659 microRNA precursor family
Rfam family: mir-4659 microRNA precursor family
Source: Rfam by way of RNAcentral
CUGUUGACGUUGCCAUGUCUAAGAAGAAAAUUUUUCUCCAAAGUUUUCUUCUUAGACAUGGCAGCUUCAGCAG